GCGUGCUUACACAUGCAAGUCGAACGAUGAACCGCUUUCGGGCGGGGAUUAGUGGCGAACGGGUGAGUAACACGUGGGCAAUCUGCCCUGCACUCUGGGACAAGCCCUGGAAACGGGGUCUAAUACCGGAUAUGACCGUCUGCCGCAUGGUGGAUGGUGUAAAGCUCCGGCGGUGCAGGAUGAGCCCGCGGCCUAUCAGCUUGUUGGUGAGGUAGUGGCUCACCAAGGCGACGACGGGUAGCCGGCCUGAGAGGGCGACCGGCCACACUGGGACUGAGACACGGCCCAGACUCCUACGGGAGGCAGCAGUGGGGAAUAUUGCACAAUGGGCGAAAGCCUGAUGCAGCGACGCCGCGUGAGGGAUGACGGCCUUCGGGUUGUAAACCUCUUUCAGCAGGGAAGAAGCGAAAGUGACGGUACCUGCAGAAGAAGCGCCGGCUAACUACGUGCCAGCAGCCGCGGUAAUACGUAGGGCGCAAGCGUUGUCCGGAAUUAUUGGGCGUAAAGAGCUCGUAGGCGGCUUGUCACGUCGGUUGUGAAAGCCCGGGGCUUAACCCCGGGUCUGCAGUCGAUACGGGCAGGCUAGAGUUCGGUAGGGGAGAUCGGAAUUCCUGGUGUAGCGGUGAAAUGCGCAGAUAUCAGGAGGAACACCGGUGGCGAAGGCGGAUCUCUGGGCCGAUACUGACGCUGAGGAGCGAAAGCGUGGGGAGCGAACAGGAUUAGAUACCCUGGUAGUCCACGCCGUAAACGGUGGGCACUAGGUGUGGGCAACAUUCCACGUUGUCCGUGCCGCAGCUAACGCAUUAAGUGCCCCGCCUG
This 819-nucleotide ribosomal RNA is filed under the name Streptomyces sp. D109. RNAcentral's name for it is "bacterial SSU rRNA". It matches the Rfam family "Bacterial small subunit ribosomal RNA", at positions 42 to 875 of the family's 1533-position model. The record is from RNAcentral. Lineage: Bacteria; Bacillati; Actinomycetota; Actinomycetes; Kitasatosporales; Streptomycetaceae.